This 406-nucleotide ribosomal RNA is filed under the name uncultured bacterium. RNAcentral describes it as "partial 16S ribosomal RNA". It matches the Rfam family "Bacterial small subunit ribosomal RNA", at positions 30 to 526 of the family's 1533-position model. The record is from RNAcentral.
AUUGAACGCUGGCGGCAGGCCUAACACAUGCAAGUCGAGCGAGCGGCGGACGGGUGAGUAAUGUCUGGGACACUGCCUGAUGGAGGGGGAUAACUACUGGACACGGUCUCUAAUACCGCAUACCAUCAGAUGUGCCCAGAUGGGAUUAGCUAGUAGGUGGGGUAACGGCUCACCUAGGCGACGAUCCCUAGCUGGUCUUAGAGGAUGACCAGCCACACUGGAACUGAGACACGGUCCAGACUCCUACGGGAGGCAGCAGUGGGGAAUAUUGCACAAUGGGCGCAAGCCUGAUGCAGCCAUGCCGGGGGGGUGAAGAAGGCCUUCGGGUUGUAAAGCACUUUCAGCGAGGAGGCGUUACUCGCAGAAGAAGCACCGGCUAACUCCGUGCCAGCAGCCGCGGUAAUAC